Molecule: ribosomal RNA, 408 nt
Filed under: Apocephalus analis
Lineage: Eukaryota; Metazoa; Arthropoda; Insecta; Diptera; Phoridae
Description: partial 16S ribosomal RNA
Rfam family: Bacterial large subunit ribosomal RNA
Source: RNAcentral
GUUUAUCAAAAACAUGUCUUUUAGAAUUUAAUUUAAAGUCUAGCCUGCCCACUGAAAUUUUAAAUGGCCGCAGUAUUUUAACUGUGCAAAGGUAGCAUAAUCAUUAGUCUUUUAAUUGAAGGCUGGAAUGAAUGGUUGGAUAAAAUAUUAACUGUUUCAUAUAAAUUAAUAAUAGAAUUUUAUUUUUUAGUCAAAAAGCUAAAAUAUUAUUAAAAGACGAGAAGACCCUAUAAAUCUUUAUAUUUUAUUGGGGUGAUAUUAAAAUUUAAUAAACUUUUAAUUUAUAAUUACAUGAAUUAAUGAAUUAUUGAUCCAUAUAUAAUGAUUAAAAAAUUAAGUUACUUUAGGGAUAACAGCGUAAUUUUUUUAGAGAGUUCAUAUUAAUAAAAAAGAUUGCGNCCUCNAUGU